GAGUAACACGUGGGUAACCUGCCUGUAAGACUGGGAUAACUCCGGGAAACCGGGGCUAAUACCGGAUGCUUGUUUGAACCGCAUGGUUCAAACAUAAAAGGUGGCUUCGGCUACCACUUACAGAUGGACCCGCGGCGCAUUAGCUAGUUGGUGAGGUAAUGGCUCACCAAGGCAACGAUGCGUAGCCGACCUGAGAGGGUGAUCGGCCACACUGGGACUGAGACACGGCCCAGACUCCUACGGGAGGCAGCAGUAGGGAAUCUUCCGCAAUGGACGAAAGUCUGACGGAGCAACGCCGCGUGAGUGAUGAAGGUUUUCGGAUCGUAAAGCUCUGUUGUUAGGGAAGAACAAGUACCGUUCGAAUAGGGCGGUACCUUGACGGUACCUAACCAGAAAGCCACGGCUAACUACGUGCCAGCAGCCGCGGUAAUACGUAGGUGGCAAGCGUUGUCCGGAAUUAUUGGGCGUAAAGGGCUCGCAGGCGGUUCCUUAAGUCUGAUGUGAAAGCCCCCGGCUCAACCGGGGAGGGUCAUUGGAAACUGGGGAACUUGAGUGCAGAAGAGGAGAGUGGAAUUCCACGUGUAGCGGUGAAAUGCGUAGAGAUGUGGAGGAACACCAGUGGCGAAGGCGACUCUCUGGUCUGUAACUGACGCUGAGGAGCGAAAGCGUGGGGAGCGAACAGGAUUAGAUACCCUGGUAGUCCACGCCGUAAACGAUGAGUGCUAAGUGUUAGGGGGUUUCCGCCCCUUAGUGCUGCAGCUAACGCAUUAAGCACUCCGCCUGGGGAGUACGGUCGCAAGACUGAAACUCAAGGAAUUGACGGGGGCCCGCACAAGCGG
This 839-nucleotide ribosomal RNA is filed under the name Bacillus mojavensis. RNAcentral describes it as "bacterial SSU rRNA". It matches the Rfam family "Bacterial small subunit ribosomal RNA", at positions 108 to 932 of the family's 1533-position model. The record is from RNAcentral. Lineage: Bacteria; Bacillati; Bacillota; Bacilli; Caryophanales; Bacillaceae.